GCCAGCAUGGUGUAGUGGUUUGAACAUUGGACUAUGACUCUAGAGACUAGGGUUUGAUUCUCUGCUCAGCCU
Molecule: non-coding RNA, 72 nt
Organism: Phrynosoma platyrhinos (Desert horned lizard)
Lineage: Eukaryota; Metazoa; Chordata; Lepidosauria; Squamata; Phrynosomatidae
Source: the annotation of a GenBank genome assembly